CUCCCGCGGGGAGCGGCAAGCCACCCUUACCGACAGAGAGUAGCUCUGUCGGUAAGGGUGGAAAGGCGAGGUAAGAGCUCACCCAUCGGCUGGAGACUGUCCGAUGCUGUAAACUCUAUCCGGAGCAACACCGGUAUGGGAGCAGGGGGUCCGACCCCCAAGGCUGGCCCGGCCGCUCCCGGGGUGGCUGGAGCGUACCGGCGACGGUACGUCGAGAUAGAUGACUGUUUGAUACAGAACCCGGCUUA
RNAcentral lists this RNase P RNA (248 nucleotides) under Oscillibacter sp. KLE 1728. Its description in RNAcentral is "RNA component of RNase P". It matches the Rfam family "Bacterial RNase P class A", at positions 127 to 351 of the family's 367-position model. Rfam says of the family: Ribonuclease P (RNase P) is a ubiquitous endoribonuclease, found in archaea, bacteria and eukarya as well as chloroplasts and mitochondria. Its best characterised activity is the generation of mature 5'-ends of tRNAs by cleaving the 5'-leader elements of precursor-tRNAs. Cellular RNase Ps are ribonucleoproteins. RNAcentral also lists the same sequence under 1 other name. Lineage: Bacteria; Bacillati; Bacillota; Clostridia; Eubacteriales; Oscillospiraceae. The record is from RNAcentral.